This 500-nucleotide ribosomal RNA is filed under the name uncultured Glomeromycotina. RNAcentral describes it as "partial small subunit ribosomal RNA". It matches the Rfam family "Eukaryotic small subunit ribosomal RNA", at positions 591 to 1092 of the family's 1831-position model. The record is from RNAcentral. Lineage: Eukaryota; Fungi; Glomeromycota.
CCAAUAGCGUAUAUUAAAGUUGUUGCAGUUAAAAAGCUCGUAGUUGAAUUUCGGGAUCAAUAUAUCGGUCGUGCCAUUGGUACGUACUGGUAUCAUUGGUUUCUCCUUUCUGACGAACCAUGAUGUCAUUAAUUUGGUGUUAUGGGAAGUUAGGACUGUUACUUUGAAAAAAUUAGAGUGUUUAAAGCAGGCUUUAGCUUGAAUACAUUAGCAUGGAAUAAUGAAAUAGGACGUUCGAACCUAUUUUGUUGGUUUCUAGGAUCAACGUAAUGAUUAAUAGGGAUAGUUGGGGGCAUUAUUAUUCAAUUGUCAGAGGUGAAAUUCUUGGAUUUAUUGAAGACUAACUACUGCGAAAGCAUUUGCCAAGGAUGUUUUCAUUAAUCAAGAACGAAAGUUAGGGGAUCGAAGACGAUCAGAUACCGUCGUAGUCUUAACCAUAAACUAUGCCGACUAGGGAUCGGAUGAUGUUAAUUUUUUAAUGACUCAUUCGGCGCCUUACG